CGCAAGCCUGACGGAGCAAUACCGCGUGCGGGAGGACAGUCCAUCGGAUUGUAAACCGCUUUUCUCUGGGAAGAACACAAUGACGGUACCAGAGGAAUCAGCAUCGGCUAACUCCGUGCCAGCAGCCGCGGUAAGACGGAGGAUGCAAGCGUUAUCCGGAAUGAUUGGGCGUAAAGCGUCCGCAGGUGGUCAAUCAAGUCUGCUGUCAAAGCGCGAGGCUUAACCUCGUAAAGGCAGUGGAAACUGAUAGACUAGAGGAUGGUAGGGGUAGAGGGAAUUCCCAGUGUAGCGGUGAAAUGCGUAGAUAUUGGGAAGAACACCAGUGGCGAAAGCGCUCUACUGGGCCAUACCUGACACUGAGGGACGAAAG
RNAcentral lists this ribosomal RNA (370 nucleotides) under uncultured cyanobacterium. Its description in RNAcentral is "bacterial SSU rRNA". It matches the Rfam family "Bacterial small subunit ribosomal RNA", at positions 376 to 759 of the family's 1533-position model. The record is from RNAcentral. Lineage: Bacteria; Bacillati; Cyanobacteriota.